AUGCACCAUCCCCUUCACCUGUGCCACCACGGAAGGGAGGGAGAAGAAGCUAUUCCAGCUCUGCUGCAUUGGUGGUCACUGGCUCUGAAGAACAUGCUGAACCUGAAAAGAGGACAGGAAAAUGGCUGGGUUAAAAACAAACAAGGAAGCAUCCCCAUCUUCUUCUUCUACAGCAAAGAUUUUUUUAUUUUUUUAUUUUUUUUCUCAAAGUAUUGCUCCUUCUAGAUACUUUCUAACUCCAUCCUAAGUGUUUGAAAGCAACUCUCACUAAAGUUUAUCCUAAUAAUAAACCGUGACGGAAGGAAGUAAUCUUAGUAUUC
RNAcentral lists this long non-coding RNA (320 nucleotides) under Anser brachyrhynchus (Pink-footed goose). RNAcentral describes it as "lncRNA (ENSABRG00000013630.1)". The record is from RNAcentral. Lineage: Eukaryota; Metazoa; Chordata; Aves; Anseriformes; Anatidae.